GCUGAAUUAGUUUAGUGGAAAAAUCGGUGAAUGGUAAUCACCUGCCCCGAGUUCGAUUCUCGGAUUCAGCACCA
RNAcentral lists this transfer RNA (74 nucleotides) under Candidatus Malacoplasma girerdii. RNAcentral describes it as "tRNA-Thr (GGT) (tRNA-Thr-GGT-1-1)". It matches the Rfam family "tRNA". From Rfam's summary of the family: Transfer RNA (tRNA) molecules are approximately 80 nucleotides in length. Their secondary structure includes four short double-helical elements and three loops (D, anti-codon, and T loops). The record is from RNAcentral. Lineage: Bacteria; Bacillati; Mycoplasmatota; Mycoplasmoidales; Mycoplasmoidaceae.